This 995-nucleotide ribosomal RNA is filed under the name uncultured bacterium. Its description in RNAcentral is "bacterial SSU rRNA". It matches the Rfam family "Bacterial small subunit ribosomal RNA", at positions 356 to 1376 of the family's 1533-position model. The record is from RNAcentral.
GGGGAAUAUUGCACAAUGGGGGAAACCCUGAUGCAGCGACGCCGCGUGGAGGAAGAAGGUCUUCGGAUUGUAAACUCCUGUUGUUGAGGAAGAUAAUGACGGUACUCAACAAGGAAGUGACGGCUAACUACGUGCCAGCAGCCGCGGUAAAACGUAGGUCACAAGCGUUGUCCGGAAUUACUGGGUGUAAAGGGAGCGCAGGCGGGCGAUCAAGUUGGAAGUGAAAUCUAUGGGCUCAACCCAUAAACUGCUUUCAAAACUGUUUUUCUUGAGUAGUGCAGAGGUAGGCGGAAUUCCCGGUGUAGCGGUGGAAUGCGUAGAUAUCGGGAGGAACACCAGUGGCGAAGGCGGCCUACUGGGCACCAACUGACGCUGAGGCUCGAAAGUGUGGGUAGCAAACAGGAUUAGAUACCCUGGUAGUCCACACCGUAAACGAUGAUUACUAGGUGUUGGAGGAUUGACCCCUUCAGUGCCGCAGUUAACACAAUAAGUAAUCCACCUGGGGAGUACGACCGCAAGGUUGAAACUCAAAGGAAUUGACGGGGGCCCGCACAAGCAGUGGAGUAUGUGGUUUAAUUCGACGCAACGCGAAGAACCUUACCAAGUCUUGACAUCCUGCGACGAUGCUGGAAACAGUAUUUUCCUUCGGGACGCAGAGACAGGUGGUGCAUGGUUGUCGUCAGCUCGUGUCGUGAGAUGUUGGGUUAAGUCCCGCAACGAGCGCAACCCUUACUGUCAGUUACUACGCAAGAGGACUCUGGCAGGACUGCCGUUGACAAAACGGAGGAAGGUGGGGAUGACGUCAAAUCAUCAUGCCCUUUAUGACUUGGGCUACACACGUACUACAAGGGCGUUAAACAAAGAGAAGCAAGACCGCGAGGGGGAGCAAAACUCAGAAACAACGUCCCAGUUCGGACUGCAGGCUGCAACUCGCCGGCAGGAAGUCGGAAUUGCUAGUAAUCGUGGAUCAGCAUGCCACGGUGAAUACGUUCCCG